Long non-coding RNA from Mastomys coucha (southern multimammate mouse), 2330 nucleotides. RefSeq lists it as uncharacterized. NCBI's taxonomy places the organism in Eukaryota, Metazoa, Chordata, Mammalia, Rodentia, Muridae. The record is from RefSeq and is a predicted model, not a curated record. The transcript has 2 exons.
AGGCAGCAGAGAAAGCCAAUGCCAACGCUCAGCUCAUGUCCUCCUUUUUACUCAGUCCAGGACUCCACCCAGUGGAAGGAUGCCACCUCUUCAGUUAAACCUCUCUGGAAAUGCUCUCACAGACAUGCUAAAGGCAUGUUUCAUGGGUGAUUCUAAAUGCAGUCAAGUUGACAAGAGAGAUUAGUCUUCACACAAUGCUUGUGUACUUCUGGCAUGUCAUCUAUCUGUAUGUAUAUGUCAUAUACAUAUUUCCUUGGUAGAAAGAGCUGGCAAGAAAUCAAACUGUACUGUGAGGAAGACCCACGUGACAUCUGACUGACAUUGGUAGUCGCAAGUGUCUGAGAGACAUGAAGAUAAGUCUGACAAGGUUAAUUAAUGUAAUCUCCAGAAAUGAGAUUCUCAAAAGAUUCACAAAAAUUAAAAAUGUCUAUGUAAUAAUCACCUUGAGAAUGAGUUCAGCACGAGUCCCUUUAUGGUUUUUGUGUCUUCUUCCAUCCUCUCCAAAUCUCAAGAGCAUCGGAAAGAAGCGUGGAAGCUUGGAUGACAAAAUUAGUGAUUGGGAAGAGCACAGGGAUGAAGGCGAAGGCAACCAUGACUAUCACCCAUGGCUGCCAGCUGCAAGGAGGCCGGUGCUGGGAACAGCCAUGCAUCCAGCAUUGAUUCAGGCUCAGCUGGGAUGAAUACAUUGUACUUGGCAGUGUUGCUCUAUUCUCUGGAACCCUGCUCAUUUCUUGAAAGAGAAGCUGCCUGUGAUGUCAUUCAAAUGAGCCAACAGCACUUGUUGAGGCAGCCGACUUCCAUGUUCUCCUUUAGACUGAAUGGAAAUGGAACCAGCUCUAGGAGAAUACAAGGUGACAUGAGGGUACCUCUGCACAGAAGGAAGAAAAUAUUUUAGAAUCCUGUAGAAAAUCAGAAAGAUACAGAAAAUAGUAAAAAGUCACUCUUGUAAAUGUUGGAGUUAAUGACUACAGAGAGCUGCUGAAGGGCCCUCAAGGCUCCGAUCCAAGGGAAAAGCACUUGCAUAACUCAUCAUGGGAGACAUCUCUCUCUGGGAACCUUCUAGAAAGAAAGUAAGAUACCAAAUAAAGCCAUGCUACUGGGACCUUUGCAGGUAAGGACUUGACAAAGGUGUUUAUUUCCCUCAAAAGUCAUUUGUCUCAUUACCGCCCCUAUGAGGCUGAACAUCCCAGAGUCAUGGACAAAGAAUGCACCAUAUUCUACGCACACGUUCACAAGGUUCAGAACUAUAUGAUAAACUUUCCUGGCAAGGUGAGCUUAUCCAGGAGCAGCAGGAUAAGCUUCAAGUCUUUCAAGUGCAACGUUUCAAACGCUUUGUUCUACAACCCAAAUACAUAAAUACUAGUGGUUCACUUUCAACACUGAAUUAGUUCCUGUUUGGGAAACACACUGAGAAAACGGAGAAGUAACUGGAAAAAAAAUAAUAGAGAAGACCCCUUCAUCUAACAUACACUUCUAUGAAAGUGUGGCAUGGACAGCAUCACCCAGGAUGCCCUGAUGAGAAGACCCCUUCAUCUAACAUACACUUCUAUACAAGUGUGACAUGGACAGCAUCACCCAGGAUGUCCUGAUGCAUUAUCUCUGAAUAUCAGAUGUGCAUUAGGUCUUAGAGAUUAAGCCUAGACCUGUGGUUACAGAAUAAAUACAUCAAGUGGCCUGGGCUUCUUAAGCAAGUACAAGAUGCUUGGAAAAUCAGCUUCCCAUACUGUGCAAUUGACCAGACAAAGGAAUGAGUAAAAGACAGAGCAACUGCUGGCUAGUGACAUCUCCAUAGAGGCCUUGGCAUUAAACCCUGACAUGAAGAUCUGUUAUCACGAGAGAGAGAAAAAAAAGUAAAAACAAUUCCUUGGAGAUUAUUUUUCCACAAUAGACCAUACCCUAAUAGGGAGGAAAUAAGACUCUUACCUUCACCCUUGGUGUGGAAAGCUGAUGUGGCUUCAUUUGGGAGAUAAAAGAAGACACAUUUAUAUGAAGACAAUAAGAACUCACCAGCUCUCUGUUUCUAGGCUUUGAUAGUCUUGAACUUAGGAAUGCUAAACACAGAUUGAAUUUUGACAAUGGACCACAAAAAUGUGUGAAAACAUUAGGCCUAAAAUCCAGACAGUGGUUUCCUGAUGACUUUGGAUGCCUGUCCAGCUCUGUGGUCCUGUGUUAGUGCCUGCGGCUCUUCACAGCGAUGCAGGUGCUGGGAAAGGCUCCUGUCAAGGAAGCAAGCAGCCCUCCAGCUGGACUAUUUCCUGCAGUUCAGUUGUUAACAGUUACUCUCAGUUUUCCCCCCUUCAUAUGAAUUAAAUCUUUUGGUAUGCCAUGCA